This 429-nucleotide ribosomal RNA is filed under the name Gemmatimonadota bacterium. RNAcentral describes it as "Gemmatimonadetes bacterium partial 16S ribosomal RNA". It matches the Rfam family "Bacterial small subunit ribosomal RNA", at positions 355 to 776 of the family's 1533-position model. The record is from RNAcentral. Lineage: Bacteria; Pseudomonadati; Gemmatimonadota.
UAGGGAAUCUUCGGCAAUGGACGAAAGUCUGACCGAGCAACGCUGCGUGAGUGAAGAAGGUUUUCGGAUCGUAAAACUCUGUUGUUAGCGAAGAACAAGGACGUUAGUAACUGAACGUCCCCUGACGGUAUCUAACCAGAAAGCCACGGCUAACUACGUGCCAGCAGCCGCGGUAAUACGUAGGUGGCAAGCGUUGUCCGGAAUUAUUGGGCGUAAAGCGAGCGCAGGCGGUUUCUUAAGUCUGAUGUGAAAGCCCCCGGCUCAACCGGGGAGGGUCAUUGGAAACUGGGAGACUUGAGUGCAGAAGAGGAGAGUGGAAUUCCAUGUGUAGCGGUGAAAUGCGUAGAUAUAUGGAGGAACACCAGUGGCGAAGGCGGCUCUCUGGUCUGUAACUGACGCUGAGGCUCGAAAGCGUGAGGAGCAAACAGG